RNAcentral lists this ribosomal RNA (467 nucleotides) under uncultured bacterium. RNAcentral's name for it is "partial 16S ribosomal RNA". It matches the Rfam family "Bacterial small subunit ribosomal RNA", at positions 29 to 507 of the family's 1533-position model. The record is from RNAcentral.
AUGAACGCUGGCGGCGUGCUUAACACAUGCAAGUCGAACGGAAAGGCCCAAGCUUGCUUGGGUACUCGAGUGGCGAACGGGUGAGUAACACGUGGGUGAUCUGCCCUGCACUUCGGGAUAAGCCUGGGAAACUGGAUCUAAUACCGGAUAGGACGAUGGUUUGGAUGCCAUUGUGGAAAGUUUUUUCGGUGUGGGAUGAGCUCGCGGCCUAUCAGCUUGUUGGUGGGGUAAUGGCCUACCAAGGCGUCGACGGGUAGCCGGCCUGAGAGGGUGUACGGCCACAUUGGGACUGAGAUACGGCCCAGACUCCUACGGGAGGCAGCAGUGGGGAAUAUUGCACAAUGGGCGCAAGCCUGAUGCAGCGACGCCGCGUGGGGGAUGACGGCCUUCGGGUUGUAAACUCCUUUCGCUAGGGACGAAGCGUUUUUGUGACGGUACCUGGAGAAGAAGCACCGGCUAACUACGUG